Molecule: long non-coding RNA, 454 nt
Organism: Herpailurus yagouaroundi (jaguarundi)
Lineage: Eukaryota; Metazoa; Chordata; Mammalia; Carnivora; Felidae
Exons: 2
Source: RefSeq, a predicted model, not a curated record
GGGGGCCCACCCCGGAGGGUCAGCGCCCAGCCUGCCGUGUUGCACUGGGCUCCCGUGGGCACUGGGCCAAGGCCAGCAGCCUCUGGUCCUGCUGCAGGUGACGGGAAGGGGUAGCUCUAGCGGAUUAACGGAUUACCACACAUUCAGGGCCUGAAGCCACACAAGCUCAUUCUUUAACAGCUAUGGGGCCAGAAGUAGGAAACGGGCCUCAGGGGGCUAACGUCCGGGUGUGGGCAGUGCUGGCUCCCGUGAAGGCUCCAGGGGAGACCUGCACCCCUGCCUGCUCUGGCUCUCAGGUUACGGGAUCAGGGCACGGACAUCUCUGGAGCUGUUAUUCUGGUGACCACAGGUCUGGGGAGAGACCGCACAGAACCAGUGCCUUGAUCAGGCUAUGCCUGAAAUCCCUGGCCUUGUCACUCACAGAAGCCAAUUAAAUUCCUUUCUGUUUAAGUCA